CCUUCGAUAGCUCAGCUGGUAGAGCGGAGGACGGUAGAUUCUUAGGUCGCUGGUUCGAUUCCGGCUCGAAGGA
RNAcentral lists this transfer RNA (73 nucleotides) under Cavia porcellus (domestic guinea pig). Its description in RNAcentral is "tRNA-Tyr (GTA) (tRNA-Tyr-GTA-7-1)". It matches the Rfam family "tRNA". Rfam says of the family: Transfer RNA (tRNA) molecules are approximately 80 nucleotides in length. Their secondary structure includes four short double-helical elements and three loops (D, anti-codon, and T loops). Lineage: Eukaryota; Metazoa; Chordata; Mammalia; Rodentia; Caviidae. The record is from RNAcentral.